RNAcentral lists this ribosomal RNA (432 nucleotides) under uncultured bacterium. Its description in RNAcentral is "partial 16S ribosomal RNA". It matches the Rfam family "Bacterial small subunit ribosomal RNA", at positions 29 to 507 of the family's 1533-position model. The record is from RNAcentral.
GCGCACGCUGGCGGCAGGCUUAACACAUGCAAGUCGCGCGGGCCCUUCGGGGUCAGCGGCAGACGGGUGAGUAACACGUGGGAACGUACCCUUUGGUUCGGAAUAACGCUGGGAAACUAGCGCUAAUACCGGAUACGCCCUUUUGGGGAAAGGCUUGCUGCCGAAGGAUCGGCCCGCGUCUGAUUAGCUAGUUGGUGGGGUAAUGGCCUACCAAGGCGACGAUCAGUAGCUGGUCUGAGAGGAUGAUCAGCCACACUGGGACUGAGACACGGCCCAGACUCCUACGGGAGGCAGCAGUGGGGAAUAUUGGACAAUGGGCGCAAGCCUGAUCCAGCCAUGCCGCGUGAGUGAUGAAGGCCUUAGGGUUGUAAAGCUCUUUUGUCCGGGACGAUAAUGACGGUACCGGAAGAAUAAGCCCCGGCUAACUUCGUG